GUGCUUGUGGUGUAGCGGUUAUCACAUCCGCCUAACACGCGGAAGGCCCAGGUUCGAUCCCUGGCAGGCACA
RNAcentral lists this transfer RNA (72 nucleotides) under Rhipicephalus microplus (southern cattle tick). Its description in RNAcentral is "tRNA-Val". It matches the Rfam family "tRNA". From Rfam's summary of the family: Transfer RNA (tRNA) molecules are approximately 80 nucleotides in length. Their secondary structure includes four short double-helical elements and three loops (D, anti-codon, and T loops). The record is from Rfam by way of RNAcentral. Lineage: Eukaryota; Metazoa; Arthropoda; Arachnida; Ixodida; Ixodidae.